RNAcentral lists this long non-coding RNA (260 nucleotides) under Lathyrus oleraceus (garden pea). Its description in RNAcentral is "Pisum sativum (pea) long non-coding RNA (PSAT_LNC034461)". The record is from RNAcentral. Lineage: Eukaryota; Viridiplantae; Streptophyta; Magnoliopsida; Fabales; Fabaceae.
GGGAAAAUACUUAAAAAAUUACACCAAAUAUAGAUCCAUAGAUAGAUAUGGACAACAUGAUAUAUCACAUAAGAAAAUCAUUAAAUAAUUAAGUCAUAGUGCAAUAUAACUAAAACAUCAUACGAAUGGAAAUACAUGAGCUUUAAAACAUAAAACAUAGAACUUAAACUGGCAUAGCAAAGUCUUCACAUAAUACUUAAAAGAAACAUGAAAAACACAUGAAAAUUAAGACCACUUAAUCACUUUCUUCCAUAUCUUUU